RNAcentral lists this ribosomal RNA (485 nucleotides) under uncultured bacterium. Its description in RNAcentral is "partial 16S ribosomal RNA". It matches the Rfam family "Bacterial small subunit ribosomal RNA", at positions 30 to 507 of the family's 1533-position model. The record is from RNAcentral.
AUUGAACGCUGGCGGCAGGCUUAACACAUGCAAGUCGAGCGGGGAAAGGUAGCUUGCUACCUGACCUAGCGGCGGACGGGUGAGUAAUGCUUAGGAAUCUGCCUAUUAGUGGGGGACAACAUCUCGAAAGGGAUGCUAAUACCGCAUACGUCCUACGGGAGAAAGCAGGGGACCCUCGGGCCUUGCGCUAAUAGAUGAGCCUAAGUCGGAUUAGCUAGUUGGUGGGGUAAAGGCCUACCAAGGCGACGAUCUGUAGCGGGUCUGAGAGGAUGAUCCGCCACACUGGGACUGAGACACGGCCCAGGCUCCUACGGGAGGCAGCAGUGGGGAAUAUUGGACAAUGGGGGGAACCCUGAUCCAGCCAUGCCGCGUGUGUGAAGAAGGCCUUUUGGUUGUAAAGCACUUUAAGCGAGGAGGAGGCUACCGAGAUUAAUACUCUUGGAUAGUGGACGUUACUCGCAGAAUAAGCACCGGCUAACUCUGUG